This 426-nucleotide ribosomal RNA is filed under the name Triticum aestivum (bread wheat). Its description in RNAcentral is "partial small subunit ribosomal RNA". Lineage: Eukaryota; Viridiplantae; Streptophyta; Magnoliopsida; Poales; Poaceae. The record is from RNAcentral.
AUGACACGCACGGUGGCCGCGACUGCUCCGCUGAGAAGAACGGGAAGGUGGAGGAGGGCGGCGAUGGCCUUCGGUUCUCCAGCUGCUGCUAUUUCCGCUGCGAGGGGAAGGACGAGGCGGCGCUGCUCGCCUUCAGUGGCGCUCGGCGCCCGGGUCGUUGCCAACCUCAGCCAGGCAGCAUCACAUCGGUGGCCUCCUCACGUCCGCCUCGUACCGCUCCUGCGCCUCGCGGCCGGCCAGGAGGCGCCCGAACUCGCGGCGGCCGUGCUUGGACGCCAACGCGUCGGCCUUGGACACGCGCGCGCAUACGCGUUGGCUCCGAAGGAUGUGGACCACGAGCUCCACGCCCACCCCAGCGUUCGUCGUCGUCUCCGGCGCCUCCAGGAGGUUCUUGGCCGUCGACUGCCUGCCGCUCUGGGGGCUUGA